AGUCGAAGUGGCAGCGUCCUUGCUGGCCGGGAGGAAGCUUGGGGCGCCAGCAGCAAGGGGAAGCGGCUCCGGGAGCGCCCGAAUAGUCCCCCUCGGCGCUGGCGGACUCAGAGCGAGGCAUCGCAGCUCCCGGCUUGGGUGUGGACUGCACAUUGAAGCCCACAGAAUUAGCUAAGCAGACCAGGAACCCAGUUGGAAAAUUACAAGUGCCCUGGAUCUACAAAGCAGCUUUCUCACAGCAUGGUGGCUGGAUUCCAAGGGCAAGUCUCCCAAGAGAACCAGGCGGAAGUUAUGUUGCAUUUUAUUCAUUGGUCUUGGAAGUCACAUAACAUCACUUCACUGUAGUCAAAGUCUGUCCAGAUUCAAGGAGAGGAAACAUGCACCCCUUCUUUUGGUGGAAAGAUGUCAAUGUCUCCUUAAAGGAAAAGCAUAAAGUCUUCACAGCAUCUUUCCCAGGAACAGAUUCCAUCUCAAGAAACCACUUUCUUUGCUCAUCCAUACAAGCAACUCCUCAUCUGUUAAAAUUUUGUCAUGAGAUUGUAGCAGUUUAGCCUCAUUUACAGGCUCCACUUCAAAUUCUAGUUCUCUUGCUAUUUCUACUACAUCUACAGUUAGUUCCUCCACUGAAGUCUUGAACCUCUCAAAGUCAUCUAUGAGGGUUGGAAUCAACUUCUUCCAAACUCAUGUUAAUGUUGAUAUUUUGACCUCAUCUGAUGAAUCACAAAUGUUCUUAUUGGCAUCUAGAAUGGUGAACACUUUCCAAAAGCUUUUCAAUUUCUUUGCUUAGAUCCAUCAAGGAAUCACUAUCUAUGGCAAUUAUAGCCCUGUGUGAUGUAUUUCUUAAAUAAUAAAACUUGAAAGUUGAAA
This is a long non-coding RNA of Myotis lucifugus (little brown bat), 867 nucleotides long. RefSeq lists it as uncharacterized. The record is from RefSeq and is a predicted model, not a curated record. The transcript is spliced from 4 exons. NCBI's taxonomy places the organism in Eukaryota, Metazoa, Chordata, Mammalia, Chiroptera, Vespertilionidae.